This 453-nucleotide long non-coding RNA is filed under the name Nicotiana benthamiana. Its description in RNAcentral is "long non-coding RNA (NBEN_LNC040251)". Lineage: Eukaryota; Viridiplantae; Streptophyta; Magnoliopsida; Solanales; Solanaceae. The record is from RNAcentral.
ACUGUUGGCAGCAGGUAGAGAGAUCUUUUUUUCCUCUUCAAAACACAAGGAAAUGCGGGCAGGGUAGAGCUCGGCAGAGGGUUCGAGAAUAGGGUAGGGUCCUGUCCUUAAGAUUCAGAUAAGAAAAGAGUUCCAAACCUUUAUGCAUGCACCUCCGUACAAGUGCUGCAUACAAGUUCCGGCCAGGAUGAUUGAGAAAGAUUCAACCAAUUUGAACCGCUCACAUCACAAUAGUAGUAGCGUAAAGGCCGUAAGUCGGGGGGCGGCCAUAACAUAAGGCUAUUACUUUCACACCUCUCUAUCUAUAGAUAGAGAGAGAUCCGCUGCGUGAGCAACCCGACUGUGCCUUACAUGUGCUCUACAGGCCGCACGUAAUCUUUCUUCCCAACGAGCCCUUUUUUUUAUUUGGAAGACGGGCAUUGCGUUCGGUUCGAAAGGCAUGGUUUUCAGUAU